GGGGCCGUUUUGGAUUUGACAGGGUGGCGCUGAGUAUGUUAGCAUGCAGUGCGUUGUACGGAGAGCACUUAAAAGAGAACGUUCACACUAUAUCUGGCGAAAAUACUUACGCCUUAGCUGCCUAGUUUAGAACUUCGUAAGCUUUUGUCUCGCUAACUGCUGCAUUGUUAGGUUAGUAAUAGAGGCAUCAUAAUAACAGCGCUAGCUUUGAUGAGGGUACGACAUCAUCGCGAAACAAAGUAUCUAAGGAGAAUGGCAAGGUCGGUUACCAGCCCGCCUCAUCCCGACAAUUAAUUGGAAAAUAAGCAUGUAGAAGGCAUAAUUUAUCACACAACUGGACAAGGGUUCGAACCCCUUCGGCUCCACAA
This 368-nucleotide transfer-messenger RNA is filed under the name Pedobacter frigiditerrae. RNAcentral describes it as "Standard tmRNA". It matches the Rfam family "transfer-messenger RNA". Rfam says of the family: Bacterial tmRNA, also known as 10Sa RNA or SsrA, is named for its dual tRNA and mRNA-like properties. Its role is to liberate the mRNA from a stalled ribosome. Lineage: Bacteria; Pseudomonadati; Bacteroidota; Sphingobacteriia; Sphingobacteriales; Sphingobacteriaceae. The record is from RNAcentral.